AUGCCAUGCGUGCGACCCGGCUCGUCCUCCAGCACCGUCUCCGCACGCGCCAACCAGCAGCUGCUAAACAAACUCAAGGAUCAUCUGGACUCUGGGACGCUCCAGCCGGAGCGCGCACACCAACUGUUCGACAAAUUGCUGCGCCAAACGGUUCCGGUAUCAGCGUGCGCACUCAACGGCUUAUUUGCUUCCCUCGCGCGUGCGCUGCCCUCCGCUGCCUGCACCGACGGCCCUGCUCUAGCCAUUGCUCUCUUUAACCGCAUGGCUCGAGAAGGCCACCAGGUGAUAACGCCCAACAUUUUCACCUACAGCAUACUAAUUGACUGCUGCUGCCGCUCGCGCCGCCCAGAGCUAGGGCCCGCCUUCUUUGGCCGCCUCCUCAAGACAGGCCUCAUGGCGAACGUCGUUACCUUCACCAGCCUAUUCAAGUGCCUCUGUGACAUGAAGCGGAUGGACGAGGCUGUGGGAGUGCUGCUUCACAGGAUGCCCGGAGACAUGCCUGAUGUCAUCUCCUACUCAACAAUCCUCAAGGGCUUCUGCAAUGAGGGGAGGAGCCAGCUUGCACUUAAUCUGCUCCAGAUGAUGGUCAAAAAAGGAGCUGGCCACUCACCCAACGUGGUAUCAUACAACAUGGUAAUCGAUGGCUUCUUUAAGGAGGGUGAAGUAAGCAAAGCAUGCAAUCUAUUCCAUGAAAUGAAACAGCGGGGGGUCGUGCCUGAUGUGUGGACAUAUAAUUCCAUUAUUGAUGCAAUGUGCAAAGCAAGAGCAAUGGACAAGGCAAAAUUGGUCCUAAGACAAAUGGUUGAUAGUGGGGUUCAACCGGAUAUUGUGACAUAUAAUAAACUGAUCCAUGGAUAUUCCAUUUCGGGCCAGUUUGAAGAGGUCGUUAGGUUGUUGGACAAAAUGAGAAGUCAAGGCGUCAAACCAACUGUUUUUACUUGCAACACAGUCAUGGACUACCUUUGCAAGCAUGGAAGAAUCAAAGAAGCUGCAGAAUUUUUUUAUUCCAUGGUUGAGAAGGGCCAUAAACCUAAUAUAGUCUCAUAUGCUAUUAUGUUUCGUGGGUACGCUAAAGAAGGAUCCCUUGUUGAAAUGACUGAUCUCUGUGAGCUGAUGGCAAGAGAUGGUAUUGUACCCGAUCUCCAUUGUUUCAACAUACUGAUUAAUGCAUAUGCUAAGUGUGGGAUGAUGGAUGUGGCUAUUCUUUUCUUCAAAGACAUGUUGAAGCAGGGAGUGAACCCUGAUGAAGUCACAUAUUUAGCUGUGAUAGCCGGGUAUUGCAGAGUGGGCAUGAUGGAUGAUGCUAUGGAAAAUUUCAAUGAGAUGAUCGGUAUGGGAGUACCACAUAACGCAACUGUUUACAGGUGCAUGAUUCAGGGUUACUUAAAUCAUGGUGAUUUCUUGAAAGCAAGGGAAUUGAUUACUGAAAUGAAGACCAAGGGUAUCCAUCCUAGACCGCGGAAAAGCCAAGGAAUUGAUCCAGGGUACCUCAUGACGCAACUGUUUACAGGUGCAUGA
RNAcentral lists this ribosomal RNA (1518 nucleotides) under Triticum aestivum (bread wheat). RNAcentral describes it as "partial small subunit ribosomal RNA". Lineage: Eukaryota; Viridiplantae; Streptophyta; Magnoliopsida; Poales; Poaceae. The record is from RNAcentral.